AAAUUGAAGAGUUUGAUCAUGGCUCAGAUUGAACGCUGGCGGCAGGCCUAACACAUGCAAGUCGAACGGUAACAGGAAGCAGCUUGCUGCUUCGCUGACGAGUGGCGGACGGGUGAGUAAUGUCUGGGAAACUGCCUGAUGGAGGGGGAUAACUACUGGAAACGGUAGCUAAUACCGCAUAAUGUCGCAAGACCAAAGAGGGGGACCUUCGGGCCUCUUGCCAUCGGAUGUGCCCAGAUGGGAUUAGCUUGUUGGUGGGGUAACGGCUCACCAAGGCGACGAUCCCUAGCUGGUCUGAGAGGAUGACCAGCCACACUGGAACUGAGACACGGUCCAGACUCCUACGGGAGGCAGCAGUGGGGAAUAUUGCACAAUGGGCGCAAGCCUGAUGCAGCCAUGCCGCGUGUAUGAAGAAGGCCUUCGGGUUGUAAAGUACUUUCAGCGGGGAGGAAGGGAGUAAAGUUAAUACCUUUGCUCAUUGACGUUACCCGCAGAAGAAGCACCGGCUAACUCCGUGCCAGCAGCCGCGGUAAUACGGAGGGUGCAAGCGUUAAUCGGAAUUACUGGGCGUAAAGCGCACGCAGGCGGUUUGUUAAGUCAGAUGUGAAAUCCCCGGGCUCAAC
This 623-nucleotide ribosomal RNA is filed under the name Escherichia coli. RNAcentral describes it as "bacterial SSU rRNA". It matches the Rfam family "Bacterial small subunit ribosomal RNA", at positions 1 to 613 of the family's 1533-position model. Lineage: Bacteria; Pseudomonadati; Pseudomonadota; Gammaproteobacteria; Enterobacterales; Enterobacteriaceae. The record is from RNAcentral.